UACGUAGGGGGCGAGCGUUGUCCGGAUUUACUGGGCGUAAAGGGCGUCUAAGUGGCACGAUGCGUCGGAAGUGAAAGACGCGGGCUCAACCCGCGGUACGCUUUCGAAACGGUCGAGCUGGAGGGCCGGAGAGGGAAGCGGAAUUGCCGGUGUAGCGGUGAAAUGCGUAGAGAUCGGCAGGAACACCAGUGGCGAAGGCGGCUUCCUGGACGGUACCUGACACUGAAGCGCGAAAGCGUGGGGAGCGAACGGG
Molecule: ribosomal RNA, 253 nt
Filed under: uncultured bacterium
Lineage: Bacteria
Description: partial 16S ribosomal RNA
Rfam family: Bacterial small subunit ribosomal RNA
Source: RNAcentral